Molecule: non-coding RNA, 107 nt
Organism: Pelagophyceae sp. CCMP2097
Lineage: Eukaryota; Pelagophyceae
Source: the annotation of a GenBank genome assembly
GGGGGCAUAGCUCAGCUGGCAGAGCGCGCGCGGGCCCUGCUGCGGGCCCGGCUGCGGGCCCGGGCUUAGCUUGCGCGAGGUCUCAAGUUCGAUUCUUGAUGCCUCCA